This 7540-nucleotide long non-coding RNA is filed under the name Vigna radiata. RNAcentral's name for it is "long non-coding RNA (VRAD_LNC007665)". Lineage: Eukaryota; Viridiplantae; Streptophyta; Magnoliopsida; Fabales; Fabaceae. The record is from RNAcentral.
GACAUUUGCCUGCAUAGAAUGAUAUCAGUUUCAAUGACUCGCAUAUUGAAAGCAAAUCAGGGUAACCAGAUACGUCAGAAGAUUGUUCAUGCCAUUGGCUUUUAGCUUUAGCUUUGUUUGAAGUCAUAUACGUGUCCUUUACUCACUAAUUCUGGGUUAAUAAUUCAAUUAUUUUGAUCUCAACAUCAGUGACAAACAGUGGCAUUGGACUUUACACAUAAGAAGAAAAGAGAAAAUAGGUAUUGGCAAAAGAAAAGAUAUGCAGAAGGAGUAGGAGGCGCGUGAGAGUGAAAGGACGGCUGAGCAGGCAUAAUGUAAAUAAGAACAAGUUGAAAGUAAGAAAGUGAGAUUUUGUGGACCAGAAUUAUUGGAGAAGAAUGGAUCUUAAUUUUAUUAUGUUUGGUUCCUUCAAGGGUGAAAUGAGGAGCAAAAGGGUUUAACUAUAGUGAGAGAGUUAACCAGUUAUGCAGUGUUAUGUAGUACUUCAAAAUUUUAGAUUAAAGAUUUUUUACAUAGAACCCAACAGAACCACCAUCAAUCUUCGUCUUCUCCAAUAGAACCCACUAAUUCCACACUACAGAAAAAUCUCAAACUGAAAGAACCCUAAAAACAUAAAUCACCACCGCAACAAUUUCUACAUUCUCCUCGCCACCACCAGUGCUAAUGCGAACCCAGCUAACCAUUCGGACCAUCAUCUCGUUAUCACAGAACAUCAGCAGCACCGUGGAGGAGAAGAGGCGAAACCCUAUCGUGAAGAGAGGGCUCGAACUUUCUACCUUCGUCUUUUCUCUUCUCCACCGUCAAGAACCCUAACCAGCAAGCAGAAACUCAGAGAAGAAACCCCCAAUUUCCAAAUCACUAAUCCCUAAUUUUAAUGAGCUUUUUCUAAAUAUAACACACUCAUUAAUCAGAUUAGCAUGUUUUAAAAUUUAAAAUAAUAUAAAUAUGCAUAUAGUAAAAAACUCAAUUUUAUUGAAACGAAAACCCAAAACCCAAUUAGAAUAAACCCGCAAAAAUAGCAAUUUCCGAAACUAUUAAACCUAUUUAUAAACAAGUAAUCUAAUCUAGGGUUGUUAGUGGUACGAACUCAGGCCUUUUUUCUCAGUGCUUAUCCAAAAAUGUAUCGCAUUCUUCACUGUGCUUUUUGCACUGCCACAGAACCACCAACAGUGAGCAUGAAGUCUAUUUCGGAGGAUUUAUACAAAGAAGUGAAGUUAAAAAGGUUGGUGGAGAAGUUCAAGAAAGCUUCCGACAUUAACCGGUUCCGCAAAGAAACCGUCAUUUACGAGAAGACAGUGCGGCGUCUCGCCGGUGCCAAGCGCUUUCGGUGGAUUCGCGACAUCCUCGAACACCAAAAACAGUAUUCCGACAUUUCCAAAGAGGAUUUCUCUGCGCGCCUAAUAUCCCUUUAUGGCAAAUCUGGCAUGGCCAAACACGCCCGCAUGGUGUUCGACGAAAUGCCCCAGCGAAAGUGCAACCGCACUGUGCUCUCUUUCAAUGCCCUCUUGGCCGCAUACCUCCACUCCAGGAAGUUCAACGUCGUGGAUGAGCUUUUCAAGACCCUCCCCACUCAACUCUCAAUCGAGCCUGAUUUGGUGUCGUACAACACUCUCGUUAAAGCUUUUUGUAAAAAGGGUUCCUUUGAUUCGGCACUGUCAGUUCUUAAGGAGAUGGAGGAGAAGGGUGUGAAUCCUGAUUCCAUUACGUUUAACACUUUGCUUGAUGGGUUGUAUUCAAAGGGUAGUGUUGAGGAUGGCGAGAAAGUAUGGGGGCAAAUGGAUGCUAAGAAUGUUACUCCGGACCUGAGGAGUUAUUCUUCUAAGUUGGUGCGGUUGGUCAAGGAGAAUAAUAUGGAUGAAGUUGUUGAGUUUUUUGGAGAAAUAAAGAAGUUAAGUGUGAAGCCUGACGUAAAUGCUCUCAUCAAUACUGCCAUCAAAAGUUCUGUCAAUGACGGUAAUUUGGAGUGGGCCAAGACAUGGUUUGAUGUCAUUGUAAACAUUGAUUUUUACCGUCAUCGCAAAACUUACUUUAUCCUUAUUCGCUUCCUGUUUGGUGUGGAUCCCGACUUCAAUGCUGUCGCCAAUGCUGCCAUCAAAAGUUGUGUGAAUAACGGUAAUUUGGAGAAGGUCAUGGAGUGGUUUGAUAUCAUUCUAAAGUAUGAUUAUGACUACUCUAAUGUUGUUCCCUUCCUGCGUGAGAAGGGUGAUUCGAAGACCGCAAUGAUGUUGUGCGAGGAGUUUUUUCAAAAACGGGGCCGUGUUGAUGUAUCGUUGCUGCAACUUGUGGUGGAUAAGCUGGUAGAUGAAGGUAUGAUUUCAAAGGCGAAGGAGAUGGUGAAGAAAGUGAAAAGUCGUUUUAAUUAUAGGCUAAAUUUACCUGAAGCAGAGUAGAGUUAUGUUAGUUCUUAGUUGCACUUUAUUGUUGGUCUUGCAAUUUGAUUGGUUUUGUUAUGAUGUGAUUGAGAAAUUGCCAAUAAUGGCUUUUGUUUGGCAACGAGAGCCUAGUAACUGGUUUCUUCAAAGUAGCUUUUAUUAUAAAUAAUUUCUUUAAUGUGAAUAUCUUUUUCUCUCAAUUCUUCCUCUUUAUUUUCUUUUUCUCUAAACUCCUUUUCUUCACCUUCUUUCUAUAGUUUGAUAUAACAAAAAGGAACAAUAGACAUGAAUUAAUCCAUAAAAAAAUAUAGAAGUAGCAUCAAGAAAGGCCUUAUCUGCCGGGUACCAUGUCGUUCACCCUUAAUGUUUUUCUUAUGACCAUAUGACAAUGAAAUAUUAUAAUGCAAAAAUAUUGUUGAUUCAUCGCCUAUGAAAUAUAUAAAUAUCAGUGACAUGGAAAUGCUUACACUAAUUUCUAUAUUCUUUUGUUACUGCUUUGGUAUGGAAAUGCUUACAGUAAUUUAUAUAUUCUUUUGUUACUGCUUUGGUAUAAUCGGAGUAGUGUGAUCACGUAUCAGUUUUAAAUUCUGUAAUGCAUUUUAUCAAAUCAAACUAUUCAUUUCUUUUUCAUAACACAUCAUAUAAAUGUAUUAAAUAUCAUUGAAAAAAAUAUGAAAACAAUCAUAGAAUAUAUAAAGUACUAAUAAAUAAAUCUUUAAGACACAAAAUAAGGAGUGAUUAUGUAGGAGGUAUGACUCAAUGCUCUUUAGAGGAGAAUAAUAAUAUUAGUUAUAAAUUAAAAAUAAAAAAUAUUCUAGUAAUUAUGUUGUUGUUUAAAUACUUUUAAAAAUGCAAAAGCUACUUUAUGAUUGUUAAACACAACUUUUAAUGUUUCUUCUCUAAUAAAUAAAUCCAUCCUUUAAGCGAAAUGUUAAAACUGUACUAACUAUAUUUUUUCUCAACCAAAGAACUAUAUUAUUAUGUCUCUACAUAUUAACCUCUACUUCCUCAAAGAACAAGAUGAAAAAAAUAAUAAUAAUAAGAAUAUGAAACUUAUUAUUGUUACCAAUUUUUAAAAAGCAACAUGAUAGUUGGGGUGAAAAUGAUUCCUCAAAUUUAGCUUAUUUCAUUACUCAAAUUAAGAAACUCAGAGAAGAAACCCCAACCUACAAGAAGAAACUCAGAGAAGAAACCUCCAAUUUUCAAGUCACUAAUUCCUAAUUUUUAAUGUGUUUUUCCUAAAUAAAACACACUCAUUAAUCAGAUUACCAUGUUUUAAAAUUUAAAACAAUAUAAAUAUUCACGUAGUAAUCUCAUACUCUGAGUAAAAGACACCUCAGCAUGCCACAUGGUAAGAAAGUUAACGCCGUCUACAAUAAUUAACGGCAAGGACAUUAUUGACUCUAUUUUAUUAAAAAAAAAAAAUAGGGACCCAAUUGAGAACUUUCAGAAUAUGAGGACCCAAUUGGAAUAAACUCGCAAAAAUAGGGACCUCUGAACCUAUUAAACCUUCUUUUUUUUUAUUAUUAAAUAUAAACAUAACAUGAGUUAUACCAAAGUUAAAAAUUAGAAGGGACAUUGUUACAACCGGAAAAUCGCGACGGGAUGAUGAUCCAAAAAAGAAACGAGUUUGAAAAAAAGAGAUUUUGGAGUCGCCACCAUAGUUUAUUCUGGAAAACUACGGAAAAACCAUAAAAUGAUAAAGCACGGUCCACGAAAACCAAAGAUUGGGUUCGGGAGUCGGUUACGUGUGGGGAAGGUGUUAGCACCCCCACAACGCCUGCCCUAAGGCAAUACCUUUAACUAAAUACGCAAAUUUGAUGUGGUUUGCAAAAUGUUUAAUUUCCACUAAAAUAAAACUCUAAAGAAAACAAAAUAUUUUUUUGCGUUUUUUGUGCCCGACAAGGAUUGACCUUGCUCCUACAUAUGAGAAUAUAGGGUUACGUAGUUCUUUGAAACCGUUUGGAAAAAUUGUUUGAGAAAUUUGUUUGAGGAAUUGUUUCCUACGUAUCUCCACUUUGGAUGGAGAAUCAAUGAUCACGUAGUUCUGGCUGAAAGGUUGAUUGUUUGUUUGAAAAAGGAUGUUUUGGUAUUUUUGUAAUUUUUAUGUAAGAAAAAGAAAAGGUCUUCUAUCACAAGGACGAUGCGUGAGAUCACACAUGCGCUAGAAUCCUUAAAAUAUAUUUUUUAAUUUUUAUUUAUAGAAAAGAAAAGGGUUUUCUAGCACAAGGACAAUGCGAUCACACAUGUGCUAGACCCCUUAAAAUAUAUUUUUGAUUUUUUUAUAAAAGAAGAAGAAAAAGUGUCCCGUACAAGGAGGAUGCGUGCGAUCACACAAGCGCUGAACCCUUUAAACACAUUUUUAUUGUUUUUAAAAGUAUAUUAAAAAAAAGGUAGAUAAAUAUUUAGAAUGAAAACAAAAGGAAAGAUAAAAAAUAAAAUAAAAUAAAUAAAAAAAGAUAAAUAAAUAAAUAAUGAUAAGUAAAUAACAAAAUGUGUGGAGGUGCUUAAAUAAGAGAAGGGGUGUCUAAGCUAUUUUUCCCUUUAUAAACAGAUUGGGCCUAAGCCCAAGUGGAAAAGAGGGUGUGAAAACGAAACAAGGGGGCUGCAAACCAAAUUUGGCUCUUACAACCAGACUGGGCCAAAGCCCAAGUGCAGAGGGAUGUAGCUUAUCAGAAACCGGGGUGCAGAAUGAAAGAUGGGGUGUGCGGAUUGGAGAAUGGGGUGUGAGGAUGGGACUGGCCCAUGAACCUGGCCCAAGCAGAAAAUAAAAGGGGCUGCAAAGAUGAGGAACGGGGGUGCGAGAGGAAAGUGUUGUUUUUUUUGUUAUUAUUCGGUUGGGCCAAGCAUCCAAACCCACACUCUCCUAACCUAGAAGCUCCAAGGGGUCGAAACUCCUCCCCUCAUUCACCUCAUUUGCAUUUGCAGCCACCUUAGGUCUCUCUCUCUUUCUCACUCCCAAUCGCAACUGCCCAGGAUUGGGUUCCUUUGCCACCACCCGAAUCGAUCGGUCGCCGUUCCCAUCCGGCCAGCCAAGGCAACGCCGACGUCCUCGCCACCAUUACCGGCCAACGCAGGCCACAACGACCUCACUCUCUCUCCUUCCGCUCGCGUCGGCCUAGGGUUUGGGGGUUUGCGCGCCACCGCACCACUCCGACAGCCACAGCCCCCACGAAAUCGCCACCGGCGACUACCGCCGGCCAUGAUGCCCAGUAUUUACCAGCUCCUCUCGACGCGUAGGAAGGAGGCGAUCGUAAGACGUCCAAUCGCCGCCACCACCACCUCUUCGAAACCAAACACCACACUACCAACUCCUUCAGUCUUGUCGUCGCUGGCGACGACGGGUACCACCAGAAUCGCUGCCGGUGACGAAAAUCUGCUGCCGCCGGCGCCAUCCGCAAAAGCCCUUCUUCCUCGCGACCAAAAACCUCGAGGAUCACACUGGAUUCUCCUCUUCUCCCCUUCGCACUUGCGAGCGAGGACAUUCCCCUCUUCUGUUCUGCUUCUUUGUAGGUUGGAUAAGAGUGAAUGAAAAGAGAGAUUGGUAUUGAGUGGUCGAAAGCGAUAGUGGACGGUACAGAAGCAAGUUUUCGUUUUGGUUUAGUGUAGGUAGAAUAUGAGCUUGUGUGGGUGCUGGGAAUUGACCUUUGUUCUUGGUGAUUGGUUUUGUGAUGUUGUGCGUAUUGAUGCAGAUGGGGCGUAUUGGGGGACAUGAUUUUAUCAUCUGGUUUGUGGUUGCUGGUCAUACAACAAUGGUGGAAUGGUUGUUGGUUGUUGGUGUGAUGGUGGCAAUGACGCUCUGGUUGCGAUGUAGGGGUUUAUGGAGAUGAGAAUGGGUUCUCUGUUUUCUGUUGUUUCACUUUGUAGGUUCGAAUGACAAUGAUGAAGAUGUUGUUCUGUGUAUGUUUGGCGUUGUGCGUGUGUCUUAGUGUGUUUGAUGCAUCGUCGAAGAACAAGUUGGGUGAGGGAAAUGGGGUUGGAAUAUUGGCUGGUUCUUGGUUCUUUGCUUGUUUAUGUGUAACAGGGGAACUAUGAACAGGGUAUAACAAGUAGGAUGAAGAUGAAGAUAUUGACGGCGGACCCGUGCCUUGAAACCAUCCUAUGAUUUUGGGUGAUGAAGAGGGACCCGGGGAUGGCUAAUAGCUGUUAAGUACUUGGGUGAUGGAGUAAGAAAAACGCAUACACUACAACAUCAUAUUUACACAUUCAUACAGAGCAGUACCAAUCAUCAAUAUUUCACAAAAGCUUCCCACGAUGCAACCAGCUCUCUGGAACAGAUACGAAGGAAAAAACAUACCUCUAGGAGUUCCGCUUGUCCUGGUCAACUCCGACGACCUCUUUCUCCCCUUUGUGCAAGCGUUCCUUCUCCUCUUCCCUUUUGUUUUCAAUGGAAUCCUCACUCUGUGCUCUGCCCUUUCUCCCCUGAAGACUCUUCUUUUAACUCCAGACGUCUUUUUUUUUGUUGUUCCCUUUUCUCUCGAUGGCUAAUACCUUUUCAACCCGCUGGAUGACGUGCCCAUUCCUCUCUCCAUUGUGAUUCCUUUAACCGUUUUUUUGUCUCUGCCAAUUUUUCUUUUGCAAAUCAAAACCGUGCCUGCCAAAACCAAUCCACCACAUCCUCUGCAUGCUGUACCAGCAGCCCCUCCAAACCAAAAUCUCUUUUGUUGUUUUUUUCUCAUUUUUUUUAUUUUCUUUUUUUCUUUUCUUUUUUUUUCGAAAAAAGACAAAAUAGAAUUUUAUAUCUUUUUCUUUUUUUUACUAAUCAUAUUAAACAAAAACAAAAAAUAAAUAAAUAAAUAAAAUAAAGAAAUAAAGAAAAAUAAAAGAUAAAAAUGAAAAUAAAAACGAAAAUUAAAAAAAGAAAUUAUAAGAGGAAAAGUAAAAUAAGGAUAAAAUAAUAAAUAUAAAAAAAGAUAAAAUAAGAUAAAGUAAAUAAAUAAAAAAUAAAGAAAAUAAAAAAUAAAAUAAGUAAAUAAAUACUAAAACAUGUGACAAAAUGCAAGAAAGCUAAAGAAAAUUAAUCCGGACGAAAUGUGGUAUUGAGAGAUAUCAAAACUUUAAAAAUUUCAAAGAAGCCAAUAUUGUGUUAAUGUUGUUAAAUUGUGCAAAUCUUGUUUUGACGGAUUAGAGAGUGAUUUCUGCUUGAAAAUUGACAAAGAAGAUGUUGC